GGGUUCUAUAUUAAAGGCAGAGCGCGCA
Molecule: non-coding RNA, 28 nt
Filed under: Rattus norvegicus (Norway rat)
Lineage: Eukaryota; Metazoa; Chordata; Mammalia; Rodentia; Muridae
Source: RNAcentral